This 76-nucleotide transfer RNA is filed under the name Kitasatospora phosalacinea. RNAcentral describes it as "tRNA-Trp". It matches the Rfam family "tRNA". From Rfam's summary of the family: Transfer RNA (tRNA) molecules are approximately 80 nucleotides in length. The record is from RNAcentral. Lineage: Bacteria; Bacillati; Actinomycetota; Actinomycetes; Kitasatosporales; Streptomycetaceae.
CGGGGCCGUAGCGCAGAGGCAGGCGCACCGGUCUCCAGAAUCGGAGGACGCCGGUUCGAAUCCGGCCGGUCCCGUC